GUGAGUCAUCGAAUCUUUGAACGCACCUUGCACUCCUUGGUAUUCCGAGGAGCAUGCCUGUUCGAGUGUCAUGAAACUCUCAAACCGCAUCUUUAUUGAUGUCGGGCUUGGACUUGGACGUUGCUGGGCUGACGCUCGGCUCGUCUCAAAUGCAUUAGCUGACUCUCCCGACUUCAGUUUUCGGCGUGAUAAUCACAUCUACGUCGAUGCCGCGAGGCGCUGGACCGGGGAUCAAACGGCUUCUAACCGUCCCUCACAAGGACAAUUUUCAUCUCAUUUGGCCUCGAAUCAGGUAGGACU
Molecule: unclassified non-coding RNA, 300 nt
Filed under: uncultured Tremellodendropsidales
Lineage: Eukaryota; Fungi; Basidiomycota; Agaricomycetes; Tremellodendropsidales
Description: sequence contains 5.8S rRNA gene, ITS2
Rfam family: 5.8S ribosomal RNA (bases 1-71)
Source: RNAcentral